Molecule: ribosomal RNA, 579 nt
Filed under: Candidatus Mycoplasma haematominutum
Lineage: Bacteria; Bacillati; Mycoplasmatota; Mollicutes; Mycoplasmatales; Mycoplasmataceae
Description: bacterial SSU rRNA
Rfam family: Bacterial small subunit ribosomal RNA
Source: RNAcentral
UUUGCCCAUAUUCCUACGGGAAGCAGCAGUGAGGAAUUUUUCACAAUGGACGAAAGUCUGAUGGAGCAAUACCAUGUGAACGAUGAAGGUCUUCUGAUUGUAAAGUUCUUUUAUUUAGGAAAAAAAGCUUGAGAGGAAAUGAUUAAGCCUUGAUUGUACUAAAUGAAUAAGUGACAGCUAACUAUGUGCCAGCAGCUGCGGUAAAACAUAGGUCACGAGCAUUAUCCGGAUUUAUUGGGCGUAAAGGAAGCGUAGGCGGACAAAUUGAUCUAUUGUUAAAGGCACUUGCUCAACGAGUUGUUUGUGAUAGAUAUCGUUUGUCUAGAAUUAGUUAGGAGAUACUGGAAUUCAAUGUGUAGCGGUGGAAUGCGUAGAUAUAUUGAGGAACACCAGAGGCUAAGGCGAGUAUCUAGGACAUAAUUGACGCUGAGGCUUGAAAGCGUGGGGAGCAAAUGGGAUUAGAUACCCCAGUAGUCCACGCCGUAAACGAUGGGUAUUAGGUAUUUGGUUUAGGACUGAGUGCUGUAGCUAACGCGUUAAAUACCCCGCCUGGGUAGUAUAUAUGCAAAUAGAUUCAAA